UAUCCAUGGUGUGGGCAUUGUAGUAAAAGUAAUUUGAAGUGAUCCCAUGCUUCAUGAAAAGAUUCAAUAUCCUUUUAAUAAAAGUUGAAAAUUUUAGCCCUUAAUGA
Ricinus communis (castor bean) is the source of this 107-nucleotide small nucleolar RNA. NCBI's taxonomy places the organism in Eukaryota, Viridiplantae, Streptophyta, Magnoliopsida, Malpighiales, Euphorbiaceae. The record is from RefSeq and is a predicted model, not a curated record.